UGGGGAAUAUUGCACAAUGGACGGAAGUUUGAUGCAGCGACGCCGCGUGGAGGGUGUAGGCCUUCGGGUUGUGAACUCCUUUUUCUCCCGAAAAAGGCACAGUUUUGGCUGUGUUGAUGGUAGUGGGGGACGAAGCGCCGGCCCACUGCGUGCCAGCAGCCGCGGUAAUCCGUAGGGCGCGUGCGUUGUCCGGAUUUAUUGGGCGUAAAGAGCUCGUAGGUGGUUCGUCGCGUCUGUCGUGAAAGCCAGCAGCUUAACUGUUGGUCUGCGGUGGGUACGGGCGGGCGUGAGUGCGGUAGGGGUGACUGGAACUGCUGGUGUAGCGGUGGAGUGCGCAGAUAUCAGGAGGAACACCGAUGGCAAAGGCAGGUCACUGGGCCGUUACUGACACUGAGGAGCGAAAGCGUGGGGAGCGAACAGG
Molecule: ribosomal RNA, 421 nt
Filed under: Fusobacteriota bacterium
Lineage: Bacteria; Fusobacteriati; Fusobacteriota
Description: Fusobacteria bacterium partial 16S ribosomal RNA
Rfam family: Bacterial small subunit ribosomal RNA
Source: RNAcentral